GCCCCGGCGGCGCCAGUGGAGUACCCGCCGGUGCAGGAGGACGGCCAGCACAGGGAGCCCUCGGGGUCACGCAGCCUCUGCCUCCUCAGCACCGGCGCGCCCUGGCGAGCAGCGUGAGGAGGGCCGGCCCGGGAAGCCCAGGAGGAGGGCCAUGGCGCCGCUCGCCGGAGCACAUACCCCCUCAGUGGCACGUUUCGAUUUCCUGUGGGGAGAUGCCGCAUACCUCGAGGCCACACUCGAGAAUCUCGAGUUCUCUAAUGAACUUGGAUGUAAGGGCGGCCCUGGUGUGGGAGGCGGCGUGGCCUCGGCAGAAGGACCAGACGGAGUCCAGUGUGGAAGGGAGCAAGAAGGAAGGGACAAUUUUUCGGGUCGAUUAUUGUUGUUCUGGGUUGAUUACCACAUCAACUAAGUUGUGUUCUCUUUUAAGCUCUCGAUCUGGAGCUGUACAUGCCCAGGAUGGUCUUGACGGCGCUGCUGCUACUGGCUUGGUACAGACAUCUCGUCAUCCCUGCUGUCUGCGCUCCUCAACUGAAUGUCGGCGUGGACGCCGGCGCAUUCCCGAGGGUGCAUUUGAGCAGCGACGGUCAUCUUGCUAAUGAUCUACCAUGAGGAUUUCACGGAAGAACACAUUGGUGUUCAGGUGGAUGGUGACGACGCUGGUACUCUUGUGUCUUGCCGGCGCUGGUGCCACGGGCUUCACCUUCGACAAGUACAACCUGAGGAUGUAUGAGUAGAAGAUGGGCAAUGGGCGGUUCUGGGCAGGAGCCGCCUCGAGCGAGCUCCAGAUCGAGCGGGGGCGGCUGUGAGCGGCCGCGGCGUGCUCCGGCUCAGGGAAGGGGAGGCCGGCGCGAGCUCGGGAAGGGCGGGCGCGGGCGGGCUUGGUUGGGCGCGGCGAGCUCCGGCUCCGUCUCAUGGGGCAGGUGGAGCAGCACGACGCCGGGGCUCCAGCUCGUGGAGAAGAGCCGGUAGACAGAGGACGGCGAGCGACGACCGGGGAGCUUUGGCAUGGAUUUGAGCAAAAGAAGAGUCACAGGAAUAUUUGGGUCUUCUAACUUGCAGCUAGGGUUUCGGUGUUUAGAAGAUUCUUAACAAUGGUGAUAACAGGCAUGAAAUACAGUGGAGGGUUGCUGCCAGAGUUUGGCGUGAGUUCUUGUGAUGGCGUGGUGAGCACGGGAAAUUGAUGUUCAUGGAAUCGGGGAUUCAGAGAGCCGAUACUUUAGAUUUUCAGUGUCAGUAUAAAAAACUGACAAUGGUUUUUAGCUAUGCAUGGAGUAGCUUUGAAACUCUCCAAAAAAGGAGUAGCAUUAGCAAGACAGGCAUGAGCAGGGCUGAAAGCAAGGAAUUUGAGAAGAUCUCUGUAGAUUGGUGGUGAAAUCCAAGAUGCUCGAUUUCUUCUUGGACGUGGACAAGCCCCGCUAAGAAGUGUCAGCCUUAGUGAUUCUGGUUUCCGGCCGAUGGCUUCAAUGGUUGGUCGAGGUUUCUGUAGAUGUUGAUGUGUUGUUUAAAGAUGUGGUUGUCUGCAAGGUCACCAAUAGCCCUAGAGGAUGGUGAGGAUCUUACAAGUAAUUGUUAUCGAUGCAGGCUCAUCCAUGGUGGCGCCACCUCCAGCAUCAGACAAGGUGCCACCGGCUGUCGUGUUCAACACCCACAUGUUGGCCCUUCGCUGAGGUCUGUCAAGCUUGAAGUUGUUGGUGCACUUGCCUGAGGUUUCCUCUUUCUACACAUGUAAUGAGAAUCUCAAGAAAUUUCUCACGCAAGUGGAGGUUCAGUGGUUUGAGCAAUAUACAGUGCAUAAGGUAUAUCUUUCAGAGAAAAUAAACAAAUCUCAUUCUAGGAAGACUUGGGAUAGGAAUCAGUGAGUUUUGCAGCGAUGCAUAACAACUUUGUCAACCAUGGGUUUUUUCUGAAGCUCUUUUCAAAAUCAGAGAGAGUUAAACUACACUGGAGGCCUAAGAAAUCUUAGCAAUAACUGCUUUAUCAAUAUUAUCAAUCGUGUGGCAUAUGCUUUUCCAAUGAAUAUGUAUUACAAUGUGCUAUAUGUGUGAGUAUCAUUAUCAUCUGGAACAAGUCCAGACUAAAUCAAAAGAUGUUUCCUUGACAUGCACCUGCUAGCUUCAACCAUUUGUAGGUGAUUCCAUGUAUAGAGCGGGUUUUUUCAGAUAGCUUCAGUCAUUGUGUUUCUUCCCCAUGAUUGAGCUAUAUGCCGAUGAGGUCUGACCAGGGGAUUGAGAUAUUUAAAGUGUGCACUGGAGUUACUGGAAGAUAAUUCCAUCAAUGAAUUCAUAACUUUUGAGACAUAAUAAGUUUAGCUGGUAUAUUAUCCCGCAACAACCGAGAUGAACUACAUUCUUCAUCGCUUUAGUUGUGCCAUGUAUGGCCUUAAUCAAGAUCCAUGUAGUGCUUUCCAGUGGCUCCAUUCUUUGCUAUAUACAUCUCCCGGUUCUAGGAUUUAGUAGGUUGCUUCUUGUCUCUUCUUGUACCGGUCACAGGUUCUGUGCUCUUCUACUGUGUUGAGGUUGUUCUCUGUGGGGCCUUAUCUUCAUGUAUGGUUCCUAUUACGAGCUUAACUCGCUGGCACCAGCUGAAGAGCUUAUCCAUCCAAGAGACCAGGAGUGGAUGCGUUUUGGGAUCAUCCUGGUUGUGUAUUCUGAUCGGUUGAAUAUGGUCUAUAUGCAAUUAAAAAGUCUGUACUGCUUACCAGGACGUGGUAUGGAUGGAUCAAGGCGUCGAACAGGCGCAUCCCAGCCUUCUCUUACCCAAAUCUGUGAGGCAAGCAUCCUUCCAUCGUUUUAUGGAUUGAAGAAGGCGCACAAUGAGAUCGGUCCACCCUUCUCUUACCUGGAUCAGCCAAGGGAGCAUCCUUCCACGACAACGGCCAAAUCAUGUACCGAUGUACGGAGUCAGUUUGCUCUUCCUCCACUUGUAUUUUCAAUCUUUAUGUACACUAAUGGAACGGGUUCAUGUGCAAUAUUAAUUAUCAGCGGCUGAUUUUCUAUUUGAGUAGACUUGAUAUUGUAUAUUUUUCUAAUCAGUGCUAUGUAUGCAUGUGCUUCACAAUUUUUAGACAAUAUUGUAAAUUUGCAAAUAAAGUGACAAAGGAUGGAAUCGAGCUAGGGACAUCACAUUAUUUGUUUUCA
This is a non-coding RNA of Lolium perenne, 3137 nucleotides long. The record is from RefSeq and is a predicted model, not a curated record. NCBI's taxonomy places the organism in Eukaryota, Viridiplantae, Streptophyta, Magnoliopsida, Poales, Poaceae.